Molecule: long non-coding RNA, 1079 nt
Organism: Oncorhynchus gorbuscha (pink salmon)
Lineage: Eukaryota; Metazoa; Chordata; Actinopteri; Salmoniformes; Salmonidae
Exons: 5
Source: RefSeq, a predicted model, not a curated record
ACUAUCUCUGGAAGAUGGCCACCGAGAGAGAGAAGCUGUGCUGAAAGAACCACGAAGACGGAUGCAGGUAAUUGUCAGCCUACUAUGCAAAGUCUUCAGAGUCCCAGCAAACCCAGAUCUUCUCUGCGUGACUACUCAAGUUCUGUCAUCCAAGAGGAAAAUGUGCUUGAGAAAUGUACACUUCAAACUGAGCCAUCAAAGAAAGGGAAAGGGAGACUGGUACCCAGAGAGACAACUACCCUGCAUGUCCAGGAGGAGGAUCUAAAAUCACACCCCAACCCAACUGCACCAGAUGGCAAUAUCACCAAGCCCAAAACUGAGAAGGGGGCUAGUCAAAGUUGAAAAAGCCAAACAUAUAGAGGGGAAGGGAAGAGGAGUAUUUGCUGUCAGAUAUUUCAAGAAGGGGAAGUUUGUAAUUGAGUAUCAUGGAGACUUGUUGCAUCUGGCUGAUGCCAAGGAGAGCGAGGCUCUGUAUGCCCAAGACCCUGGGACUGGCUGCUACAUGUACUAUUUCCAGUAUCUCAGCAAAACAUACUGAAUCAACUCGCCUGGGAAGGCUGCUAAACCACAGUAAAACUGCCAACUGCCAGACCAAACUCCAUGACAUAGAUGGAAUAACACAUCUCAUACUGGUGGCUUCCAGGGACAUUGAGUCAGAGGAAGAGCUGCUUUAGGACUGGUGACCACAGCAAGGAAUCUAUCUCGGCUCACACUUUGCUCAAAAACUGAUGUGCUGUUUUUACACCAAGAGUAUUCAAGAUAAUUACUAGGUGCAUUUGCUUAAAGUUUUUUUCCUUUUUUUUCUUGGCCCUGAAUAUUCCCUUGGCACUAAACUGCCAACUUGGCAUUCCAGGUGAGACAAAUUAAGUGGGUGUUUUGUGUAUUUUUAAUCUGCCCUUUCAAGCAAUGUAUUUGGGCAAAACUGAGGCAGUAUGAACAAUAUUGAAGACAACCUUCAAGAUGACACAUGGAUCAAUUUGUUAAAACUGUAUAUCAAUUUAUUGCUGGAUUUGGGGGUAGUUUUUAUACAUAUUUAGGCCUGUGCUUCCAAGAAGAUAUUAAUAAAAUUUGUAACAUUA